RNAcentral lists this ribosomal RNA (207 nucleotides) under uncultured bacterium. RNAcentral describes it as "partial 16S ribosomal RNA". It matches the Rfam family "Bacterial small subunit ribosomal RNA", at positions 1294 to 1500 of the family's 1533-position model. The record is from RNAcentral.
CGGAUUGCAGCCUGCAACUCGGCUGCAUGAAGCUGGAAUCGCUAGUAAUCGCGAAUCAGAAUGUCGCGGUGAAUACGUUCCCGGGUCUUGUACACACCGCCCGUCACACCAUGGGAGUCGGGAACGCCCGAAGUCGGUGACCCAACCGUAAGGAGGGAGCCGCCGAAGGCGGGCCUGGUGACUGGGGUGAAGUCGUAACAAGGUAAC